This 413-nucleotide ribosomal RNA is filed under the name uncultured bacterium. RNAcentral describes it as "bacterial SSU rRNA". It matches the Rfam family "Bacterial small subunit ribosomal RNA", at positions 362 to 775 of the family's 1533-position model. The record is from RNAcentral.
UAUUGCGCAAUGGACGAAAGUCUGACGCAGCGACGCCGCGUGUAGGAUGACGCCUUUCGGGGUGUAAACUACUGUUGCCCGGGACGAAACUCCUUUUUCGAAAGGACUGACGGUACCGGGUGAGGAAGCACCGGCUAACUCUGUGCCAGCAGCCGCGGUAAUACAGAGGGUGCGAGCGUUGUCCGGAAUCACUGGGCGUAAAGGGCGCGUAGGUGGCUUGGUAAGCGUGUGGUGAAAGUCCGGGGCUCAACCCCGGAUCUGCCGUGCGAACUGCCGAGCUUGAGCAUUGUAGAGGCAGGUGGAAUUCCGGGUGUAGCGGUGGAAUGCGUAGAGAUCCGGAAGAACACCAGUGGCGAAGGCGGCCUGCUGGGCAAUAGCUGACACUGAGGCGCGACAGCGUGGGGAGCAAACAG